This is a non-coding RNA of Coelomomyces lativittatus, 73 nucleotides long. The record is from the annotation of a GenBank genome assembly. NCBI's taxonomy places the organism in Eukaryota, Fungi, Blastocladiomycota, Blastocladiomycetes, Blastocladiales, Coelomomycetaceae.
GCUUCCUUGGCUUAGUUGGUAAAGCGUCCGCCUAGUAAGCGGAAGAUCGCGUGUUCGAUUCCCGCAGGAAGCA